CACAUGACUCUCGGCAACGGAUAUCUUGGCUCUCGCAUCGAUGAAGAACGUAGCAAAAUGCGAUACCUGAUGUGAAUUGCAGAAUCCCGUGAACCAUCGAGUUUUUGAACGCAAGUUGCGCCUGAGGCCUUUUGGCUGAGGGCACGUCUGCCUGGGCGUCACGC
This 164-nucleotide ribosomal RNA is filed under the name Leptochloa asthenes. Its description in RNAcentral is "Dinebra decipiens subsp. asthenes 5.8S ribosomal RNA". It matches the Rfam family "5.8S ribosomal RNA". From Rfam's summary of the family: 5.8S ribosomal RNA (5.8S rRNA) is a component of the large subunit of the eukaryotic ribosome. Lineage: Eukaryota; Viridiplantae; Streptophyta; Magnoliopsida; Poales; Poaceae. The record is from RNAcentral. RNAcentral also lists the same sequence under 1 other name.